AACGAACGCUGGCGGCAGGCUUAACACAUGCAAGUCGAACGCCCCGCAAGGGGAGUGGCAGACGGGUGAGUAACGCGUGGGAACAUACCCUCCGGUUCGGAAUAACUCAGGGAAACUUGAGCUAAUACCGGAUACGGCUUAGCGGCGAAAGAUUUAUCGCCGGAGGAUUGGCCCGCGUUCGAUUAGCUAGUUGGUGAGGUAAUGGCUCACCAAGGCGACGAUCGAUAGCUGGUCUGAGAGGAUGAUCAGCCACAUUGGGACUGAGACACGGCCCAAACUCCUACGGGAGGCAGCAGUGGGGAAUAUUGGACAAUGGGCGCAAGCCUGAUCCAGCCAUGCCGCGUGAGUGAUGACGGCCUUAGGGUUGUAAAGCUCUUUCGCUCGG
RNAcentral lists this ribosomal RNA (385 nucleotides) under uncultured bacterium. Its description in RNAcentral is "bacterial SSU rRNA". It matches the Rfam family "Bacterial small subunit ribosomal RNA", at positions 29 to 443 of the family's 1533-position model. The record is from RNAcentral.